This 80-nucleotide transfer RNA is filed under the name Nitrospina sp. RNAcentral describes it as "tRNA-Leu". It matches the Rfam family "tRNA". Rfam says of the family: Transfer RNA (tRNA) molecules are approximately 80 nucleotides in length. Their secondary structure includes four short double-helical elements and three loops (D, anti-codon, and T loops). Further hydrogen bonds mediate the characteristic L-shaped molecular structure. tRNAs have two regions of fundamental functional importance: the anti-codon, which is responsible for specific mRNA codon recognition, and the 3' end, to which the tRNAs corresponding amino acid is attached (by aminoacyl-tRNA synthetases). tRNAs cope with the degeneracy of the genetic code in two manners: having more than one tRNA (with a specific anti-codon) for a particular amino acid; and 'wobble' base-pairing, i.e. permitting non-standard base-pairing at the 3rd anti-codon position. The record is from RNAcentral. Lineage: Bacteria; Pseudomonadati; Nitrospinota; Nitrospinia; Nitrospinales; Nitrospinaceae. RNAcentral also lists the same sequence under 1 other name.
GCGGAUGUGGCGGAACUGGCAGACGCGCUGGAUUUAGGAUCCAGUGGGCAACCGUGGGGGUUCGACUCCCUCCAUCCGCA